RNAcentral lists this ribosomal RNA (811 nucleotides) under uncultured euryarchaeote. RNAcentral describes it as "bacterial SSU rRNA". It matches the Rfam family "Archaeal small subunit ribosomal RNA", at positions 47 to 859 of the family's 1478-position model. The record is from RNAcentral. Lineage: Archaea; Methanobacteriati; Methanobacteriota.
AGCAUGCUAGUUGUACGAGUUCAGACUCGUAGCAGAUAGCUCAGUAACACGUGGCCAAACUACCCUAUGGAUCCGGACAACCUCGGGAAACUGAGGCUAAUCCGGGAUACGACUCUCAGCCUGGAAGUGGCGAGAGUCAGAAACGCUCCGGCGCCGUAGGAUGUGUCUGCGGCCGAUUAGGUAGACGGUGGGGUAACGGCCCACCGUGCCGAUAAUCGGUACGGGUUGUGAGAGCAAGAGCCCGGAGACGGAAUCUGAGACAAGAUUCCGGGCCCUACGGGGCGCAGCAGGCGCGAAACCUUUACACUGUACGCAAGUGCGAUAAGGGGACCCCAAGUGCGAGGGCAUAUAGUCCUCGCUUUUCCCGACUGUAAGGCGGUCGGGGAAUAAGGGCUGGGCAAGACCGGUGCCAGCCGCCGCGGUAAUACCGGCAGCCCAAGUGAUGACCGAUAUUAUUGGGCCUAAAGCGUCCGUAGCCGGCCACGAAGGUCCAUCGGGAAAUCCGCCAGCUCAACUGGCGGGCGUCCGGUGGAAACCACGUGGCUUGGGACCGGAAGGCUCGAGGGGUACGUCCGGGGUAGGAGUGAAAUCCCGUAAUCCUGGACGGACCACCGAUGGCGAAAGCACCUCGAGAAGACGGAUCCGACGGUGAGGGACGAAAGCUAGGGCCUCGAACCGGAUUAGAUACCCGGGUAGUCCUAGCUGUAAACGAUGCUCGCUAGGUGUGGCACAGGCUACGAGCCUGUGCUGUGCCGUAGGGAAGCCGAGAAGCGAGCCGCCUGGGAAGUACGUCCGCAAGGAUGAAACUUAA